UACGUAGGUGGCAAGCGUUGUCCGGAAUUAUUGGGCGUAAAGCGCGCGCAGGCGGUUUCUUAAGUCUGAUGUGAAAGCCCACGGCUUAACCGUGGAAGGUCAUUGGAAACUGGGAGACUUGAGUGCAGAAGAGAAGAGCGGAAUUCCACGUGUAGCGGUGAAAUGCGUAGAGAUGUGGAGGAACACCAGUGGCGAAGGCGGCUCUUUGGUCUGUAACUGACGCUGAGGAGCGAAAGCGUGGGGAGCGAACAGG
Molecule: ribosomal RNA, 253 nt
Filed under: uncultured bacterium
Lineage: Bacteria
Description: partial 16S ribosomal RNA
Rfam family: Bacterial small subunit ribosomal RNA
Source: RNAcentral